RNAcentral lists this ribosomal RNA (382 nucleotides) under uncultured eukaryote. Its description in RNAcentral is "partial 18S ribosomal RNA". It matches the Rfam family "Eukaryotic small subunit ribosomal RNA", at positions 592 to 976 of the family's 1831-position model. The record is from RNAcentral.
UGUAAGCGUAUACCAAAGUUGUUGCAGUUAAAACGCUCGUAGUCGGAAUUUGGCAGUUCCGGAUGUGUGCACGUCGUGUGCGCACUUCGCGGGGAUUGCUUUUGUGGUCUUGCGUAGGAUGAGGCACUUUUAUUAGGGAACGUCCUCACGCAACCACUUUUUACUGUGAGAAAAUCAGAGUGCUCAAAGCAGGCAUUUGCCGUGAAUGUAUUAGCAUGGAAUAAUAGAAUAGGACUUGGUUCUAUUUUGUUGGUUUGUUGGGACUGAGUAAUGAUUAAGAGGGACAGUUGGGGGCAUUUGUAUUUCGGUGCUAGAGGUGAAAUUCUUAGAUUACCGAAAGACAAACUGCUGCGAAAGCGUCUGCCAAGGAUGUUUUCAUUGA